This 422-nucleotide ribosomal RNA is filed under the name uncultured bacterium. RNAcentral's name for it is "bacterial SSU rRNA". It matches the Rfam family "Bacterial small subunit ribosomal RNA", at positions 40 to 507 of the family's 1533-position model. The record is from RNAcentral.
CGGCAUGCCUAACACAUGCAAGUCGAGCGGGGACUUCGGUCCUAGCGGCGGACGGGUGAGUAACGCGUGGGAACGUGCCCUUUGCUUCGGAAUAGCCCCUGGAAACGGGGAGUAAUACCGGAUGUGCCCUUUGGGGGGAAAGAUUUAUCGGCAAAGGAUCGGCCCGCGUUGGAUUAGGUAGUUGGUGGGGUAAUGGCCUACCAAGCCGACGAUCCAUAGCUGGUUUGAGAGGAUGAUCAGCCACACUGGGACUGAGACACGGCCCAGACUCCUACGGGAGGCAGCAGUGGGGAAUCUUAGACAAUGGGCGCAAGCCUGAUCUAGCCAUGCCGCGUGAGCGAUGAAGGCCUUAGGGUUGUAAAGCUCUUUCGUGGGGGAAGAUAAUGACGGUACCCCAAGAAGAAGCCCCGGCUAACUCCGUG